This 250-nucleotide ribosomal RNA is filed under the name uncultured bacterium. RNAcentral describes it as "partial 16S ribosomal RNA". It matches the Rfam family "Bacterial small subunit ribosomal RNA", at positions 779 to 1026 of the family's 1533-position model. The record is from RNAcentral.
UAGAUACCCUGGUAGUCCACGCCCUAAACGAUGGAUGCUAGUUGUUGGAGGGCUUGGUCUCUCCAGUAAUGCAGCUAACGCAUUAAGCAUCCCGCCUGGGGAGUACGGUCGCAAGAUUAAAACUCAAAGGAAUGACGGGACCGGCCACAAGCGGUGGAGCAUGUGGUUUAAUUCGAAGAUACACGAAGAACCUUACCUAGGCUUGACAUUGAGAGAAUCCGCUAGAAAUAGUGGAGUGUCUGGCUUGCCA